GAAACAUCUUAGUACCCGGAGGAAGAGAAAGAAAAUUCGAUUCCCUUAGUAGCGGCGAGCGAAACGGGAAGAGCCCAAACCAACAAGCUUGCUUGUUGGGGUUGUAGGACACUCUAUACGGAGUUACAAAGGACGACAUUAGACGAAUCAUCUGGAAAGAUGAAUCAAAGAAGGUAAUAAUCCUGUAGUCGAAAAUGUUGUCUCUCUUGAGUGGAUCCUGAGUACGACGGAGCACGUGAAAUUCCGUCGGAAUCUGGGAGGACCAUCUCCUAAGGCUAAAUACUCUCUAGUGACCGAUAGUGAACCAGUACCGUGAGGGAAAGGUGAAAAGCACCCCGGAAGGGGAGUGAAAUAGAACCUGAAACCGUGUGCUUACAAGUAGUCAGAGCCCGUUAAUGGGUGAUGGCGUGCCUUUUGUAGAAUGAACCGGCGAGUUACGAUUUGAUGCAAGGUUAAGCAGUAAAUGUGGAGCCGUAGCGAAAGCGAGUCUGAAUAGGGCGUUUAGUAUUUGGUCGUAGACCCGAAACCAGGUGAUCUACCCUUGGUCAGGUUGAAGUUCAGGUAACACUGAAUGGAGGACCGAACCGACUUACGUUGAAAAGUGAGCGGAUGAACUGAGGGUAGCGGAGAAAUUCCAAUCGAACCUGGAGAUAGCUGGUUCUCUCCGAAAUAGCUUUAGGGCUAGCCUCAAGUGAUGAUUAUUGGAGGUAGAGCACUGUUUGGACGAGGGGCCCCUCUCGGGUUACCGAAUUCAGACAAACUCCGAAUGCCAAUUAAUUUAACUUGGGAGUCAGAACAUGGGUGAUAAGGUCCGUGUUCGAAAGGGAAACAGCCCAGACCACCAGCUAAGGUCCCAAAAUAUAUGUUAAGUGGAAAAGGAUGUGGCGUUGCCCAGACAACUAGGAUGUUGGCUUAGAAGCAGCCAUCAUUUAAAGAGUGCGUAAUAGCUCACUAGUCGAGUGACACUGCGCCGAAAAUGUACCGGGGCUAAACAUAUUACCGAAGCUGUGGAUUGUCCUUUGGACAAUGGUAGGAGAGCGUUCUAAGGGCGUUGAAGCAUGAUCGUAAGGACAUGUGGAGCGCUUAGAAGUGAGAAUGCCGGUGUGAGUAGCGAAAGACGGGUGAGAAUCCCGUCCACCGAUUGACUAAGGUUUCCAGAGGAAGGCUCGUCCGCUCUGGGUUAGUCGGGUCCUAAGCUGAGGCCGACAGGCGUAGGCGAUGGAUAACAGGUUGAUAUUCCUGUACCACCUAUAAUCGUUUUAAUCGAUGGGGGGACGCAGUAGGAUAGGCGAAGCGUGCGAUUGGAUUGCACGUCUAAGCAGUAAGGCUGAGUAUUAGGCAAAUCCGGUACUCGUUAAGGCUGAGCUGUGAUGGGGAGAAGACAUUGUGUCUUCGAGUCGUUGAUUUCACACUGCCGAGAAAAGCCUCUAGAUAGAAAAUAGGUGCCCGUACCGCAAACCGACACAGGUAGUCAAGAUGAGAAUUCUAAGGUGAGCGAGCGAACUCUCGUUAAGGAACUCGGCAAAAUGACCCCGUAACUUCGGGAGAAGGGGUGCUCUUUAGGGUUAACGCCCAGAAGAGCCGCAGUGAAUAGGCCCAAGCGACUGUUUAUCAAAAACACAGGUCUCUGCUAAACCGUAAGGUGAUGUAUAGGGGCUGACGCCUGCCCGGUGCUGGAAGGUUAAGAGGAGUGGUUAGCUUCUGCGAAGCUACGAAUCGAAGCCCCAGUAAACGGCGGCCGUAACUAUAACGGUCCUAAGGUAGCGAAAUUCCUUGUCGGGUAAGUUCCGACCCGCACGAAAGGCGUAACGAUUUGGGCACUGUCUCAACGAGAGACUCGGUGAAAUCAUAGUACCUGUGAAGAUGCAGGUUACCCGCGACAGGACGGAAAGACCCCGUGGAGCUUUACUGUAGCCUGAUAUUGAAAUUCGGCACAGCUUGUACAGGAUAGGUAGGAGCCUUUGAAACGUGAGCGCUAGCUUACGUGGAGGCGCUGGUGGGAUACUACCCU
Molecule: ribosomal RNA, 2011 nt
Filed under: Staphylococcus aureus
Lineage: Bacteria; Bacillati; Bacillota; Bacilli; Caryophanales; Staphylococcaceae
Description: partial 23S ribosomal RNA
Rfam family: Bacterial large subunit ribosomal RNA
Source: RNAcentral